AAUCAUCGACGGACGCACUCCUCCUCCCAGUGUCCUCGAUGGGACCAGCAACACCUCCUCCUCCCGGUUGUUGGUCAGUUUCAGAAACCCGGCGCACCUCCUCCCGCGCCGGGUUUUCUGU
Molecule: small RNA, 121 nt
Filed under: Aliirhizobium cellulosilyticum
Lineage: Bacteria; Pseudomonadati; Pseudomonadota; Alphaproteobacteria; Hyphomicrobiales; Rhizobiaceae
Description: Rhizobium cellulosilyticum Alphaproteobacterial ar14
Rfam family: Alphaproteobacterial ar14
About the family: Smr14C2 was renamed NfeR1 (Nodule Formation Efficiency RNA) highly expressed in salt stress and during the symbiotic interaction on legume roots.
Source: Rfam by way of RNAcentral